RNAcentral lists this transfer RNA (74 nucleotides) under Pteropus alecto (black flying fox). It matches the Rfam family "tRNA". Rfam says of the family: Transfer RNA (tRNA) molecules are approximately 80 nucleotides in length. Their secondary structure includes four short double-helical elements and three loops (D, anti-codon, and T loops). Further hydrogen bonds mediate the characteristic L-shaped molecular structure. tRNAs have two regions of fundamental functional importance: the anti-codon, which is responsible for specific mRNA codon recognition, and the 3' end, to which the tRNAs corresponding amino acid is attached (by aminoacyl-tRNA synthetases). tRNAs cope with the degeneracy of the genetic code in two manners: having more than one tRNA (with a specific anti-codon) for a particular amino acid; and 'wobble' base-pairing, i.e. permitting non-standard base-pairing at the 3rd anti-codon position. The record is from Rfam by way of RNAcentral. Lineage: Eukaryota; Metazoa; Chordata; Mammalia; Chiroptera; Pteropodidae.
GGCUCCAUUGUGUAGUGGUUAGCACAUUUGCUUUAGACGCAUAAGGUCCUGGGUUAGCACCCCAGGUGGAGCCA